This 450-nucleotide ribosomal RNA is filed under the name uncultured bacterium. Its description in RNAcentral is "partial 16S ribosomal RNA". It matches the Rfam family "Bacterial small subunit ribosomal RNA", at positions 354 to 796 of the family's 1533-position model. The record is from RNAcentral.
GUGGGGAAUAUUGGACAAUGGGGGAAACCCUGAUCCAGCCAUGCCGCGUGUGUGAAGAAGGCCUUCGGGUUGUAAAGCACUUUAAGCAGGGAGGAAAGGGUGUUGGCUAAUAUCCAGCAUCAUUGACGUUACCUGCAGAAUAAGCACCGGCUAACUUCGUGCCAGCAGCCGCGGUAAUACGAAGGGUGCAAGCGUUAAUCGGAAUUACUGGGCGUAAAGCGCGCGUAGGUGGUUUUGUAAGUUGGAGGUGAAAUCCCCGGGCUCAACCUGGGAACUGCCUCCAAAACUGCAUGACUAGAGUACGGUAGAGGGUAGUGGAAUUUCCUGUGUAGCGGUGAAAUGCGUAGAUAUAGGAAGGAACACCAGUGGCGAAGGCGACUACCUGGACUGAUACUGACACUGAGGUGCGAAAGCGUGGGGAGCAAACAGGAUUAGAAACCCUGGUAGUCC